CCGACGAACCUCUCCACUCAAUCCGUGGCACCCCCAGCAUAGCCAAUGUCACUGUCUUAGCGUGAUAGCCCAGAAUAGAAUGACACGGAGACAACCAAUCCAUGCCCAAUAUUACAUCAAAAUCGAUCAUACUAAGCAUCAAAAGGUUUACUCGGUCUCUAAAACCUCGAUAAUCACCACACAAGACUAGUAUACGUGGUCCACAACAAUCGUAUCACCCAUAAAAGUAGAUACAUGAGUAGAUGAAAUAAGAGAAUAGCGAGACAUAUCCAAAUAAUGAGCAAAAUAUGAUGAUACAUACAAAAAAAGGGAACCAUGAUGAAAUAAUACAGAGGUAUCCUUGUGGUAAACUGAGACAAUACAUGUGAUCAUAGAACCUGAAGCAAUAGCAUCUGGUCUGCGUGGGAGUGCAUAGAAACGGGUCUGACCACCACCUGGUCGAGUUCCCUCUCUAGGGGAACCACUAGCUGACUGUCAUCCACCCCUAUCUUACUUGAUAGGUGGUAAAGCAAUUGGUGCAAAAGUCGAUUGUAUGAAUCCUCUAUUGACACGAACCCCCAUGAAGAUAAGGACACUGCCUCCCUAUAUUCCCCAACUCCCCACACUCAAAAGAACCCCCUUGUGCCAGUGGCAGGGACUAAAAGGAACCCCUAACACUGGGAUAACUGGUAGAAGAACCUGGCAUGGAGGAGCCUUGAACUGAUAGAGCACAAUCAUACUCUGGGCUGGGAGAGCACUAUGUGAUGAAUGGACCUGAUGAGAAAUGUGAGAACCAUGGCCUGAUGAUUCCCUACGGUAAACUGGGCGAGCUGACUGAGCAUGUAUGAAUGGACGAUCUGUGUUGGACACCAUUUUUCUAAUACAAGAUGAUAUUCUUAUGUGUUUGUUUCUUGUUUCUUUCUCUCUUCAGUAGCUAGUAUCACAUUCAUUAUCAUUUUGUUUCUCUUUUAGAAUAUGAAUCUGUCAUUAUAUUUGGUAUUCCAAUUGUUUUAGAGGAGGAAAGAAUUCACUUUAUUAUAAAGGUAUAAUUCUUUUUUUUUUCAUGUGACUUCUUAUGUAGCAUUCUUGAAGGAAGUGAAGUCAAUUACUUCAGUGAAAAGCUUAACUUGUGGAAAGUUGGGUUUAUAAGAUUUACUUAGUUCGAAUUAGGAGCGAUCUUAAAGUAAUUACACAUUGAAAUUACUAUCCUUCAUGAUUUAGUAAGUGGUUUUGUGUGAGAAAAAAUUAUUUGAUUUGACAUUAUCUAUCUUGUACUAAGUACAUUUUAUAUUGCUAUUUUGUUAUUUGGUUACUAUGCUAAAAGAGUAUUUGCUUCACUUUUAUUUCAUGUUUGUUAUAGAAAUAUAUAUUUGUGAAUGUAAACGUGUUCAUGAUGAAACUAAACAAAAUAUUAUUAUUUACAUACAAAAAAUAUAAUAGCGACAUUAAUGUAAAUGUCAAACAUUUAAUGUGACAUUUUGCUAUGUUGUAAAAGAUAUGUCACUAAUUUUUUUAAUGACAUUCACGUAAAGUGAAAACGACAUUUUGUAUAUGUUGUGAAUUUUUCUAGUGAUAUUUACCAAAUUGUCGGAUAUUACAAUAUGACAUUUUGUGAAGAUCAUACGUAAAUGUCGUAUUCUUUUAGUAAUAUUAAUUUAAUUGUCGAAAAUUUUAAGUGACAUUUCUUAUAUGUUGUGAACCAAAUGUCGUAACAUUCUUACCAAUAUUUACCUAAAGAUCGUAAACUAAAUAUCAUAAAUUACUUAUUGAUAUCUAAAUGUUGUAAAGUAAGUGUCACAAAUUUCUUAUCGAUAUUUAUCUAAAUGUAGUAAAAUAAGUGUCAUAAAUUUUUAUUGACAUUCACCUAAAUGUCGUAAAGUGAGUGUCAUAAUUUCUUACCAUAUUUACCUAAAUGUCGGAAAAUUACUGACAUUGAAAUUAACAAAACUUGACGCAAAUAUAAAUUAAAUAUCGAUGAACAAAUUUGUAGCAUUUCGACAUUUACUAAAUAUCGUCAUAUCUCCAUUUUCUUGUAGUAUUUGUUAAAUAUAUUCUUAUGCAGUUUGAUCCUUUAAGUUUGCUAAAAAUAAUCACUUUUUAAUCCCCUCGAAUAUUUAACAAAACAUUAUUUGUUAGAUUUAGCCAAAACUAUGAAAAAAUAGAAUUUUAUAUAAAAUGAAAAAAUAGAGGUAUAAUUUUUGCAGUUUUUGCUAUUUUGUUCUAUUUCUGUAGUCGGUGCAACUUCUUAGUGCAGUUCCUAUUCUUCUUAUUUAUUUGUGGUGUCUGAUGCAGUAUUUUUUUGUCGCAAUUUUUAAGAUUUGAUGGGACUUUCGUAGUUUUAUCGAAUCAUUUUUCACAAGCCCCAUUAAAUUUGACUAUCAAAGUUUAUUAAAUAUUUAAUAGUGGCUAAAAUUGCUCAUUUCUUUUGCAAGCUUAAAGGAUCAAAACUAUUCAACAAACUUAUUCCAAAAAUAAGGGACCAUUUUUGCCAUUCUCUAGUCUUAAUAAUCAUCAUAGCACUAAGGAUUGGAAUCUUUACACAAAUAAUCAGACAUAUUUAUUAUUUAUUCAAUUUACAAAAAAUAUAUAUUGAGUAUAUACAAUUAUAUAUAUAUAUAUAUANNNNNNNNNNNNNNNNNNNNNNNNNNNNNNNNNNNNNNNNNNNNNNNNNNNNNNNNNNNNNNNNNNNNNNNNNNNNNNNNNNNNNNNNNNNNNNNNNNNNNNNNNNNNNNNNNNNNNNNNNNNNNNNNNNNNNNNNNNNNNNNNNNNNNNNNNNNNNNNNNNNNNNNNNNNNNNNNNNNNNNNNNNNNNNNNNNNNNNNNNNNNNNNNNNNNNNNNNNNNNNNNNNNNNNNNNNNNNNNNNNNNNNNNNNNNNNNNNNNNNNNNNNNNNNNNNNNNNNNNNNNNNNNNNNNNNNNNNNNNNNNNNNNNNNNNNNNNNNNNNNNNNNNNNNNNNNNNNNUAUAUAUAUAUAUAUAUAUAUAUAUAUAUAUUAUAUGAAUUAUACUUAUAUCAUACAUAUGACAACUAUUUUUAAUUUAAGCAGAUGAGUUAAUGACUAUUUAGAUCAAUUCUGUCACGACCUGGAUUGCUCACCCCCGGAAGUCGUGAUGGGCGCCUUUUCGUAGAAGCUAGGCAAGCCACGAAAUUAGGAAUCUUUAACUCAUUUGUUUUAGCCCUUUUUACAACUUAUUUUAACAAGUGAUAAACAUUUAAAUAACAACGGAAUAUGAGAUUAAGCGGAAGACUUGGACAAAAUUAAUCAAAAUAAUACGGAAAUCAACAUGUGCAUCUACCCAGAAACUGGUGUCACAAUAUUAACAAACUAACUAUGAUAACUACAUACAAAUUGUUUGAAAGAAAAAAAUAUCGUCUGUCUCGGAUACAAGUGAUAAUAGAACAUAAUAAAAGAUAGAGGAGACACCGGGUCUUGCGAACGCUUGCAGGACUAUCUCGGAAUCUCGAUGGGCUGAAGCAUGGCUUCCCUACUGCUGCUGACCAUGUGCUGCUCCGGUAUCUGCACAAAGUGCAAAGUCUAGUAUCAGCAGAACCAAUCCCAUGUGCUGGUAAGUGCCUGCCUAACCCCGAUGAGGUAGUGACGAUGCUAGGACAAAACUCAAGAUAAAUCUAUUUAGUUAUAUAAUAUAUGGCAGAAAGUAAACAGGAAUAAGUAGUUUAAAUGGGAGGGGGUACAUACUUCAGGGAAACAUACCAAAUCCAACAUAACCUUAAUACAAUAUGAAAGGACAAUUCAAUAUCUACAAUAAUACAAUAGCAAUACUAUUGCGACGUGUAACCCGAUUCACACACACACACACACACACACACAUAUAUAUAUAUAAGUGUUGUGGCGUGCAACCCGAUUCACACACACACACACACACACACACACACACACACACACAUAUAUAUAUAUAUAUAUAAAACUGUUGCGGCGUGCAAUCCUAUCUAAUAUAAUAUUUAUAGUGUGCAACCCGAUCUAUAUAUAUAUAACUGUUGCGGCGUGCAACUCGAUAUAUAUAUAUAUAUAUAUAUAUAUCAACUCUAUUUGUGACCUUUUCUCGUAUGUGGGACUCUCUAUCUUCUUUGGUAGAUAAUCGAUCGUCUUUCAUUUGGAUAGUGAGUAGUUUUUAUAAUAAUAAGUCAAGUCAAUAAUAAUAGAACUGGAGGAGUGAAAGCCACUUGACUGUAAGGAAAGGAGCGAAAAGCCAGGAUGGCUUGGUAAGCAAGCAAUCCGUUAUGUGGGCGCCAACUCCAAGUUCCUUCUCUUCUUUCUUUUUUCAAGUCACGAUCAGAAUGAUGACAUUCUUUUUUGCUUUAGAAAGGAGAAGGGAAAAGGCCAAUUUGCACCACCAUCCUUCCCCAAAGAUUCGGUUAGUGUGCAUAGACUUCUACUUUCCUUAGGCGACUUUCUUGCCUUACGAAAAGAAGUUCAUUUCAUUUUCCCGGGAAUUUUGGAAAAAAGCCGCUUCCUCCUUGAAGGCGUAAGGAAGAGCCUAUUCAUGUGCAGUUGAUUCUCGAACGAAGCGAAGAAUGACAGCGGCUCUCUCUUCCCAGUAGCAGGCGAGGCAAAAAAGACCGCUAACGCCCCUUGCAUUUCCCUCUUUGAGUUGGCCUAUCAGAAAGAAAAAACGAGUGAAUGCGCUAGAUGUCUAUCGUUUUUUCAAAUUACUGGUACUGGCUUAGAGUGAGAACCCAGUCCAUAGCUUUACUUACCAGUUAUCUGUCGAUUGCCUUCUCUCCCAUUACCUUAAAGUUCAAUCAGAAGCCUAGAAGAAAGACUGUACCUACCAAUCCAAUAAGCAGAUAGAGUAGAAGAGAAGGCCCGGAACAAGGUUGACUGAGACUGCCUGCGGCGUGCAACUCGAUCCAAUAUACGUUCAAUAGUGAUCAUAAUAACAGUCCCGACUAGGGAUCAAUAAUAAAUUACACUAUCUCGAUAAGGGAAUUCAAUAGUACAAGUAUAUACGUUCAUGUAAGGGAAAAAAAGUUAAAACCAGUCUUAUCUCAACGUCUACUCAUCUCAGUUAUCACCCUUUCUCAAUCAUAAGCAACUUCCAUGAAAAUAAACUAAAUCGUUUCACAUUAUCAAGAAUUCACCCCCUAAUGCAUUCAUAGUAUCACUAAGAAUACAACAAGUAUCAAUUUAAGACUCACGUUCAUGCUCGACUCCAAUAUAUAGAUACUCUUAACCAUAUCUAUACGUCGUACUUAACAAGAAGCAAAUAGGAAAUAGGACUCAAAUCCUAAUCCCUCAAGUUAGGGUUAGACCAGACACUUACCUCAAAAUUUUUCGACCAACUCAUGCCUCAAACACAGCUUUUCCUUUCAAAUUUGGCUCGAAAUCAAUUGUGUCUAUAUAUAAUCCACUUCAUAACAUCAACAAACGCUACAUAAUUCAGUUCCAAUGAUAAAUUAUAGCUUUCUAAUCAUUCUUACGAAAAAUGAAAAAAUCGAUCUCGUGUCCACUUGAUUAAAACACGAGGUUCGAACCAAAACCUAAUUAUCCAUUUACCCUUUAUCUCAUAUUUUAAGCCUAGAAAUCCAGUGAGUGUUGAUGAAAAAGAAAAAAAAAACAAGUUAAGGAUUACUUACUCAAGAGAUUAUAGUGAAGAAAUGCUCCAAAAUUCUCCUAAGAUCUUUGGAGAAGAAGAGGUUUGUGAAAUUUUUAUAAAAUCCCGAAAGAAUGCUUUUUUUUUUGGUCUUUUAAAAGUCACUCGGCAAAAAUGCCCUUCGCGUUCGUGAAGGACCCUUCACAUUCACGAUGGAUCAUACUGGUUAAGCCUUUGCGUUUGUGUAGACGGGUUCGCAUUUGUGGAGAAAGACCCCCUCGAGCCCUCGCAUUCACAUCCAAAAGGUCUCGUUCGUAUAGGGUAAUUUCCCCACCCCUAUCCAGGCCCACUUGGCCUUCGCUUUCGCGUGACCAGGACCGCGUUCGGAAAGGUAUAGCCCCCACUACCACGCGUGCGUGACCUGGGCUACGUGUUCGGGUAGAAGGAAAUUCCCUUCCUCAAAAUUUACACAUUGUGUUCGCAUUGGUACUCCCACGAAUGCGAAGAAGAAGGCAUCAGAAAUCCAACAGCUGAAAAUAUGCUAUAUUUCCUAAGUCAAAAACCUCCAGAAACACAUCUAAAAUACACUCGAGCCCUUAGGGUUACUAAACAAAUAUACGUACUAACUCAACAACAUCAUAUGAAUUUAUCCGUGCGAUCAAAUCACCAAAAUAACCUAAAAACAACGAAUUAAACCCCAAAAUCAAAGGAUUUUUCUCAAACUUCAUAAAAUAUCAACUUUAACAAUUUAGGUCUGAAUCACGUCAAAAGAUAUCCGUUUUCACCAUAUUUUUCAAAAACAUCUUUAAUUAUAUAUAAGACCUAUAUCAGGCGCCGGAACCAAAAUAUAGGCCCGAUAAUAACAUGUUUUAAUCAAAUUUCUUUCUAAUUUCCUUAAACAAUUUCAGAAAAUAAUUUCUUUUAAAAAUUUAUUUCUCGGGCAUGGGACCUCAUAAUUCGAUUCCAGGCAUACGUCCAAGUCCCGUAUUUUCCUACGGACCCUCCAGGACAAUCGAAUUAUGGGUUCGAGUCCGUUUACUGAAAAUAUUGACUGAUUUUCAUAUUUAAGCUUUCCAAACUGUGCAUGCAAAUCGAAGUGACUAUAAAAGAGGUUUUCAAGGCCUCGAAAACACAAAAUUUAAUUUAAAAACUAGUGAUGUCCCUUGGGUCAUCACAUUCUCUACCUCUAAAAGAACCAUUCAUCCUCGAACGGACAUAAGAAGGAAGUACCUGAGUCUGGAAAAAGAUGAGGAUAACGGCUCCGCAUAUCAGACUCGGACUCCCAAGUUGAUGCCUCAGCAGGCUGACCUCUUCAUUGAACACGAACAGAAGGGAAACUCUUCGACCUCGAUUGACAAACCUGCCGGUCUAGAAUAGCCACCGGCUCCUCCUUAUAAGACUAGUCCUUGUCCAACUGGACAGUGCUGAAAUAUAACACGUGUGAUGGAUCGCCGUGAUACCUCCAAAGCAUGGACGCAUGAAACACCGGAUGAACGACUGAUAAGCCCGACGAUAAUUCAAGUCUAUAAGCCACUUCUCCCACUUGAUCAAGAAUCUCAGGACCAAUGAACCUAGGGCUAAUCUUUCCCUUCUUUCUGAAUCUCAUCACGCCCUUCAUAGGCGACACUCAAAACAAUACCCGCUCACCGACCAUGAAAGUUAAAUCUCGAACCUUGCGGUCGGCAUAGCUCUUUUUCUUGGAUUGAGCUGUACGAAGACUAUCCCAAAUGAUCCUGACCAUGUCCAAGGCCUCUUGAGCCAGAUGCGUACACAACAACCGAGCCUCUCCUGGCUCAAACCAUCCAACCGGAGACCGAUACCACCUAGUAUAUAAAUCCUAAAAUAGAGCCAUCUGGAUACUUGAAUGAUAGCUAUUGUUGUAGGAAAACUCUAUUAAAGGCAAAAACGGAUCCCACGAGCCUCCAAUGUCAAUGACACAAGCUCAGAGCAUAUCCUCCAAAAUUUGAAUAGUCCACUUGGACUGUCCGUCCGUCUCAAGAUGAAAUGAUGUGCUCAACAUAACCUGCGUGCCCAACUUUCGCCGAACUGCUCUCUAGAAAUGCGAGGUAAACUUCAUAUCUCGGUCCAAAAUGAUAGACACAGGCACACCAUGAAUACGAAAUAUCUCCCGGAUAUAGACUCAGCUAACCUCUCGGAUCAAUAGGAGACUGCCACAGGGAUGAAAUGCGCUAACUUGGUUAGCCUAUCAACAAUAACCCAUACUGCGUCGAACUUCCUCCGAGUCUACGAGAUUCCAAUAACGAAAUCCAUAGUGAUCCGCUCCACUUCCACUCGGGAAGCUCAAUCCUCUUAAAUGAUCCACCAGGCCUCUGAUGCUCAUACUUAACCUGUUGGCAAUUCAAACACGAGCCAUAUAUGCAACGAUAUCAUUUUUUAUUCGCCACCAAUAAUACUGCCGUAAAUCUUGAUACAUCUUUGUGGCGCCCGUAUGAAUAGAGUACCGGUAGCUAUAGGCCUCCUCUAAAAUCAAAUCCGGAAGCCCAUCCACAGUAGGCACACAAACUCGACCCUGAAUAUAAAAACUCCAUCAUCAUCUAAAGUAACCUGCUUGGAACCUCUGCGUUGCACCGCGUCUCUAAGGACACACAAAUAGGGAUCAUUAUACUGCCGAUCAUGGAUACACUCCAAUAAAGAAGAACGAGCAACCGUGCAAGGUAACACAUGCCAAAACAUCCAAUCUCAUGAAUUGAUUGGACAAAGUCGGAACAUUCAAGGCAAGCGGUCUCUCACCAACUCGAAUAUAAGCAAGACUUCCCAUACUGGCUGACCUUUUACUUAAAGCAUCAACCACCAUAUUGUCCUUUCCCGGAUGAUAUAAAAUGGUGAUAUUAUAAUCUUUUAACAACUCCAACAACCUCCCCUGCCUCAAAUUCAACUCUUUUUUCUUGAACAAAUAUUGAAGACUCUUUUGAUCCAUGAAUACUUAACAUGCCACACCAUAUAUAUAAUGCCUCCAAAUCUUCAAUGUGUGAACUAUGGCUUCCAACUCCAAGUCAUGAAUCAGAUAGUUCUUCUCAUGAAUCUUCAACUGCCAUGAAGCAUAGGCAAUGACCUUGCCAUCGUGCAUCAACACUGCACCAAGCCCAAUACAAGAAGCAUCACAAUAAACUGUAUAAGGCCCUGAACCUGUGGGAAAGAUCAACACCGGUUCUGUAGUCAGAGUUGUCUUGAGCUUCUGAAAGCUCGCUUCACACUCAUUCGACCAUCUGAACAGGCACCCUUUUGGGUCAACUUGGUCACUAGGCUUCAAUAGAUGAAAACCCCUCUAUGAACCGAUGAUAGUAGCCUGCCAAUCCCAAGAAACUCCAAAUCUCUAUAGUUGAUACUGGUCUAGGCCAGCUCUUGACUGCCUCAAUCUUUUUCGGAUCCACCUGAAUACCCUCUACUGAUACAACAUGACCCAGAAAAGCAGGUGAACUCAACUAGAACUCACACUUCGAGAACUUAGUAUAUAACUAACUAUCCUUCAGAGUCUGAAGAACCACUCUAAGGUGCUGCUUGUGCUCUUCCUGGCUGCGAGAAUAUAUCAAUAUAUCAUCAAUGAAGACUAUCACGAAUGAAUCCAAAUAGGACUGAACACUCGGUUCAUCAGAUCCAUAAAAGCUCCUGGUGCAUUUGUCAACCCAAAUGACAUAACCAAGAACUCAUAAUGCCCAUACCGAAUGCAGAAAUCUAUUUUAGGGACAUCGGAUGCCAUAAGCCUCAACUGAUGGUAGCCAGAUCUCAAGUCAAUCUUUGAAAAUACCCCGGCACGCUGAAGCUGAUUGACAAAUCAUCAAUACUCGACAACAGAUACUUAUUCUUGAUUGUGACCUUGUUCAAUUUUUGGUAAUCAAUACACAUUCUCAUUGACCUAUCCUUCUUUUUAGCAAACAACACUGGCGCAUACCCAAGGUGAAACGCUGGGUCUAAUGAAGCCAUUCUCAAGAAAAUCUUGAAAUUGUUCCUUAAACUCUUUCAACUCAGGCAAGGCCAGACGAUACAGCAGAAGAGAAAUGGAUUGAGUGUCCGGAGCCACAUCAAUGCAAAAGUCAAUAUCCUUGUAGGAGGCAUACCCGGUAGGUCUGAACGGAAUACCUUAGGAAACUCAUGAAAAAUGGGCACAGAAUCAAUAGAGGGAACCUCAAUACUAGAAUUGCCAACAUAUGCAAAAUAGGCCAAACAACCCUUAUUGACCAUACGUCGAGCCUUCACAUACGAGAUAACACGACGGGUAGAAUGAAUAGGAGUCUCUCUCCGCUCUAAAUGAGGAAAACCCGGUAAGUCCAAAGUCACAGUCCUAGCAUGACAUUAUAAGAUAUCAUGGUAAGCUGAUAACCAGUCCAUCACUAAUAUAACAUUGAAAUCGACCAUGUCCAGAAGCAACAAAUCUACACGAGUCUCAAGACCCUUAAUAACAACUACACAAGAAUAAUAGACUCGAUCUAUCACAAUAGAAUCACCCACCGAUGUAGACACAUAAACGGGAACACUCAACGAAUCACUAGGCAUAACUAGGUACGGUGCAAAAUAAGAUGACACAUACGAGUAUGUAGACCCUGGAUCAAAUAACAAUGAAGCAUCGCUAUCACAAACCAUAACAGUACUUGUAAUCACCACAUCUAAGGCCUCAGCCUCGGGCCUGGGUGGAAGAGUAUAACAUCGGGGAUGAGCCCCACCACCCUGAACUACAUCCCUGGGAUGACUUGCUGUUGGUUGGCCUCCAUCUCUAGCGGUCUGGGCUCUACCUCUAGGACCUCUACCUUCACCUCUAGCACCUCUACCCCCACCUCUAGCUGGCUGGGCGGUUUGUGGAACACAUGGUGCCGGAAACAUAGCACGGGAACCCUACUACUGCGACUGAGUACCACCAACCUAGGACAAACUCUCUGGAUAUGACAAUACCCAGCACACUCAUUAAAUCUACCUGAAUGUUGCGGCUGAGGAAAUUGAGACUGACCUUGGCGACCUGAAUGACCAUCCCAAAAGCUCUAGAUUGGUGGUACACUGAUAGGAGAUGGUGGUGCACUGUAAGGCUGCUGAUCAGAAUACUGCAUCUGAGGACCACGACCACCUGAAACACCGUGAGAAACCUAAAGAGCUGACUGAGAUGGCUUAGAAGGAUGGCCUCUAUCUCUACCUCCAGACGAGAUAUCACUGAAUCUCCCUGAAUGACGGGGCCUUUUAUCCGCUCCACGACCACUCCCCUAUGAUAGUACCAUCUCAACUCCCCAAUUCACAUUGGCUGCCUCCUAGAAGGAUAUCUCACUCCAAGUCUCUCUAGCCAUCUGGAGACGAAUCGGCUGAAUGGGUCCAUCAAUAAAUCGUCUCACUCUAUCCCUCUCAGUGGGAAGUAUAAUAAGGGCAUGACGAGCCAAAUGAAUCUGGUCUCAUACUGGGUGACAGUCAUAGAUCCCUGUUAAAGGAGCUCGAGCUGCCUCCGAUAAGACUCUCGCUAUGUAAUAGGGAGAAACUUCUCUAGAAAUAGCUGUGCGAACUGCUCCCAGGUCAAGGCUGGCGAUCCUGCUGGUCUAGCUAAGCACUAAUCCCUCCACCAAGUCUUGGCGGAUCCAGACAAGUGAAAUGUAGCAAAAUCGACCCCAUUGGCCUCAACAACCCCCAUGUUCUUGAGAACCUCAUAGCAUCUGUCUAAAUAAUUCUGGGGGGGUCCUCAAUAGAUGCACCACUGAAAGUGGUAGUGAAGAGCUUGGUGAACCUAUCCAGCCUCCACAAAAAAUCGGCAGAUAUAACUGCUCUAUCGUCGGCUUGAGCUACCACACCCGGCUGAACCUCUGGAGUCUGAAUCCGCAGAGCUGCCUGCUCUAGAGUCCGAGUAGCAGGAGUUUGGGCUCCUCCUCCAACCUGAGAGACGGCGAGUGCUACAGGAAGAAAGCUUGCUCUGGUGACACUCUCCAUGAGGCCUACUAAUCGGAUCAGAGCAUCCUGCAGAACUGGGGUAGCAAUAAACCCCUCUAUACCAAUCCCUCAGACUCUACUACGCUUGUCCGCGAAUUGCGAGACCGAUAUAACAUAGAGCUCUGAUACCAACUUAUCACGACCCAGAUUUAUUACCCUUAAGAGUCGUGAUAGUGCCUACUCGUAGAAGCUAGGCAAGCCACGAAAUUAGGAAUCUUUAACUCUUUUGUUUUAGCCCUUUUUACAACUUAUUUUUACAAGUGAUAAGCAUUUAAUUAACAAUGAAAUUUGAGAUUAAGCGCAAGACUUGGACAAAAUAAACCAAAAUAAUAUGGAAAUCAACAUGUGCCUCUACCCAGAAACUGGUGUCAUAACAUUCACGAACUAACUAUGGUUACUACAUACAAAUUGUUUGAAAGAAAGAAAUACCGUCUGUCUCAGAUACAAGUGAUAACACAACAUAAUAAAAGAUAGAGGAGACAUCAGGGCAUCCGGACGCCUGCAGGACUACCUCGAAGUCUUAAUGGACUGAAGGCUAGCCCCCGUACCGAUGUUGACCAAGUACUACGCCAAUAUCUGCAUAGAGUACAGAGUGUAGUAUCAUCACAACUAAACCCAUAUGUUGGUAAGUGCCCGGCAUAACUCCGACGAGGUAGUGACGAGGCUAGGACCAGACUCCAGUUAAACCUGUACAGUUAUAUAAUAUAUAGCGGAAAGUAAGGAAUAAGUAGUUUAAAUGGGACGGGGUACAUGAUUCGGGGAAACAUACCAAAUCCAACGGAAACUUAAUACAAUAUGAAAGGACAAUUCAAUAUCUACAACAAUACAAUAGCAAUACUGUUGCGGCGUGCAACCCGAUCCCUUGUCAUUUAACAUUGUUGCGGCGUGCAACCCGAUUCACACACAUAUAACUAUUGUGGCAUGCAACCCGAUCCACACAUAUAUAACUGUUGCAGCGUGCAGCCUGAUCCAAUAUAAUAUUCGUUGCGGCCUGCAAUCCAAUCCACACACAUAUAACUGUUGCGAAAUGCAGCCCGAUUAGAUAUAAUAUCUGUUGCGGCGUGCAACCCGAUCAUAUAUAUAUAACUGUUGCAGCGUGCAACCCAUUCAUAGAUAUAAUUUUUGUGGUGUGCAACCUGAUCCACACAUAUAUAUAACGGUUGCGGUGUGUAACCUCAUCUAAUAUAAUAUCUGCUGCGGCAUGCAACCCAAUCCAUAUAUAAAUAACUAUUGCGAUGUGCAAUCCUAUCCAAUAUAAUAUCUGUUGCGGCGUGUAACCCGAUCCAUAUAUAUAUAUAUAUAUAUAUAUAUAUAUAUUAACUAUGCGGUGUGGAACUCGAUCUAAUAUACAAUAAAAAUUAAUCAUAAUAACAGUCCUCGCAAGGGAUCAACAAUAAAUUAUACUAUCCCGACAAUGAAAUUCAACAGUACAAGUAUAUACGUCCCUACAAGGAAAAAAACAGUUAUAACCAGUCUUAACUCAACUCCUACUCAUCUCAGUUAUCACCCUUUCUCAAUCAUAUGCAACUUCCACGAAAAUGAACUAAAUCUUACUCAUUAUCAAGAAUUCACCCACUAAAGCAUUUGUAGUAUCACUAAGAAUACAAUAAGUAUCAGUUUAGCACUCACGGUCAUGUUCGACUCCAACGUAUAGAUACUCGUCACCAUAUCUAUACACUGUACUCAAUAAGAAGCAAAUAAAAAAUAGGACUCAACUCCUAAUCCCUCAAGCUAAGGUUAGACCUGACACUUACCUCAAACUUCCAUGACUAACUCAAGCCUCAAGCACCGCCUUUCCUUUCGAAUUUGGCUCCAAAUCAAUCGUAUCUAUACAUAAUCGAUUUCAUAACAUCAAUAAACGCUACACAAUUCAAUUUCAAUGCCAAAUUAUAGCUUUCUAAUCAUUCUUUCCGAAAAUUCAAAAAUCGAUCUUGGGCUUGCUUAGUCAAAAUUCGAGGUUCGGACUAAAACCCGAUUACCCAUUCAUCCACGAGCCCGAAUAUAUAAUUUAUUUUCAAAUUCGACUCCAAAACGAGGUCUAAAUUGUAAUUAAUCAAAAAGCUCUAAUUCUACUCAAAUCCCUAAUUUUAUAUCCUUAAUCAUACUUUAGGCCUAGAAAUAUAGUGGGUAUUUAUGAAAAGAAAGAAAACAAGUUAAAGAUUACUUACCCAAGAGAUUAUGGUGAAGAAAUAUUUCAAAAAUCACCUAAGAGCUUUGGAGUAGAAGAAGUUUGUGAAAUUUUUAUAAAAUCCUGAAAGUGUUCUAUUUUCUGGUCUUUUAAAAAUCACUAGGCGAAAAUGCCCUUUGCAUUCGCUAUGGGUCAGGCUGGAUAAGCCUUCGUGUUCGCAUAGACAGACUCGCGUUCACGGAGAAGAAUCCCCUAGAGCCCUCGCGUCCGCGUCCAAAGGGUCGUGUUCGCGUAUGGUAAUUGCCCCACCCUUGUCCAGGCCCACUUGGCCUUCGCGUUGGUGUGGCCAGGACCGCGGUCGCAAAGGUAUAGCCCCCACUGCGCGUUUACAACCUGGGCUACGCGUUCGCGUAGAAGGAAAUUCCCUUCCUCAAAAUUUACACCUCGCGUUCGCGUGGGUACUCCCGCGAACGCGAAGAAGGAGGCGUCAGAAAUCCAACAGCUGAAAACCUGCAAUAUUUUCUAAGCCAAAAACCUCCUGAAACACAUUUGAAACACACCCGAACCCUCGGGGCUCCUAACCAAACAUUCGUACUAACUCAACAACAUCAUACGAACUUAUUCGUGAGAUCAGAUAGCCUAAUAACCUCAAAGCCAUGAAUCAAGCAUCAAAAUCAUGAAUUUUUUCUCAAACUACAUCAAUUUUCAAAUUUAGAAAUUCAAGUCUGAAUCACGUCAAACGACGUCCGUUUUUAACCAAAUUUUACUAGGACUUAAAACAUAUAUAAGACAUGUACCUGCACCAAAACCAACACACAUACCCGAUAUCAUCGCUUUCAAAUAAAAUUUCAUUUCCAAUUUUCUUAAACAUAUCAGAAAAAUAAUUUUCUUUAAUAUCUGUGUGAUCAAAUAGUCAAAAUAACCUCAACAACAACAAAUUAAACCUCAAAAUCAAAGGAUUUUUCUCAAACUUCAUAAAAAAUCAAUUUUAGCAAUUUAGGUCCAAAUCAGGUCAAAAGAUAUCCAUUUUUCACCAAAAUUCAUAGAAACAUCUUAAAUCAUAUGUAGUACCGAGCGUCGGAACCAAAAUACGGGCCAAAUACUAACAUGUCCUAAUCAAAUUUCAUUUCAAAUUUCCUUAAACAAUUUCAGAAAACAGUUUUCUUUAAAAAUUCAUUUCUCGGGCUUGAGACCCCAGAAUUUCAGGCAUACGCUCAAGUCCCAUAUUUUCUUACGGAUCCUCCGGGACCAUAAAAUAUGGGUCCGGGUUCGUCUAUCCAAAACGUUGAUCGAAGUCAAAUUAACUCAUUUUAUAGCCAAAUUUUACCAUUUUCCACAGAUUUUCAUAUUUAAGCUUUCCGACUACGCGCCCGAACUGCGCACGCAAAUCGAGGUGACUCUAAAUGAGGUUUUCAAGGCCUCGGAAACACACAAUUUUAUUUAAAAACAAGUGAUCACAAAUUCUUCUUAUAAAAUCUAUCUUCUCAUCUUCUUUAAGCUGUUUAGACCAAAUUAUUUAUGAAUUUUAGCUUUCCCUAAGCAUUUUCCGCGAGUUAGUUUGUUAAUAAAAAUCAUUCUACAUUUAACAAGUUAAAAACAUUUAACAAAAAACAGUCACCCAAUCUAGUUUCUCUGAUUAUUCUCCAAAAUUGAAAUAAAUAUAGAAAAGAGAUUCCAUUAUAAGAUCGAAGCAAGCAAAUUAGAGCUGACGUAACUAAAACCAACCAGUGGAAUAAUUAAAUACGAAAUGACACCAAUAUCUACUUACACAUGGCAAUUAUGAUUAAUGCAAUUAUAAAUGACUAAGGUUAUCGAAUUGCUGGCAAUUACGCCCUAAAUGGGCUAACAAUCGCCAAGUCUUAUAGCAAAGUGUGCAAAAGGCUUCGGUAAGUGAUGCAUGCCAUCAUAUUUACUUUGUAAAGGAUAGUAGCACCAUUUAUGACCUCUUAAAUUCUAAUUAAAUCAGACACAUGUCGAGGUGUGCAUAAAUUAACCCGACACCAUUUUUAUCAACAAAAAUAAAAGAAAGAGGAAAAAGGAAGAAAAGAAUGUGACCUAGUUUUAUUCAUGUUAAGGGCUGCCACUAUGUGAGAGUGGAAACAUUGUUACGUGUCAGGGUCUUGGUUUCAUGAAUAUUAAAUAAUAUAAUGUUGUAGGAUAUUUGGAAACAGCCUCUCUACUUUAGGGUAGGGGUAAGAUGUGCGUAUACACUACCCUUCUCAGACCCAACUAAGUGGAAUUAUACUGGGUUGUUGGUUGUUGUAUAUUGUUGUAGGAUAUUCCAAUUUAUUAAACAGUGAUCCUGAUUUUCCAUUACCAGUUAACGUUUUAGAAAAUACGUGUCUCACUUUAGAAGUCACAAAGCUCAAACUUGGGAUAAUUUAUUCUUUCUUCGGUCAAUGAUUAUGAUGCUAAUAUUUGCACCUGGGCAAUGCUUACUCAAAUAGUUCAACGUAUCUUUUAUAUUUUGUAGCUCGUGCUCUCACGUUCAUAAUUAAGUGCCAAAAUCUCACCAACAGCUCGUUGAAAUUGACAUAUAUUUCCAACAUGCAAACCACUUCUACUACAGACUAUUUAAAUUUCACUCUUGUGCUUCUCGUUGUAUCUCAUAAGCCAUGGCAAAGUUAACUUUUCUCCAACUACUUUCAUGGCUUCUAAUAAUAUGUUCAGUUUCUACCAUAGUAUUAGCUAGUAAAUCAAGUCAUGAAGAUGAAACUAAAGCUGUAGAUGAUUAUCUUCCAAGUUAUUAUCCUCAGCCUCACAAAAACCUCCUUAAUGUCAUCGAUUCGUGCUGGAGAUUGAACCACGAGUGGUCAUCCAAUCGCAAGGCUUUAGCAGAUUGUGCAAUAGGCUUUGGAAGUAAUGCUAUGGGAGGUAAAUAUGGUGACAUUUACGUGGUCACUGACCCUUCUGAUGAUCCUGCAAAUCCUGAACCAGGCACUCUUAGGUAUGGUGCAAUUCAGUCCGAGCCACUUUGGAUCAUUUUCAAAAGUGACAUGGUACUUACACUUAAGAAUGAACUAAUGGUGAAUAGUCACAAGACUAUAGAUGGCAGAGGUGCAAAAAUUGAGAUUUCUAAUGGUCCAUGCAUUACAUUGGACUAUGUUACAAAUGUUAUUAUUCAUGGGAUUAGUAUUCAUGAUUGUAAGCCUGGUAAAAAAGGGAUGGUUCGUAGUAGUCCUGAACAUGUUGGUGAAAGAUUAGGCUCUGAUGGUGAUGCCAUAAGUGUGUUUGGAUCGUCGAAUGUUUGGAUUGAUCAUUGUUAUCUUGCUCGUGCAACGGAUGGUCUACUCGAUGUUAUUCAUGCUUCAACUGCAGUAACUAUAUCGAACAAUUACUUCACUGAGCAUGACAAAGUAAGUCUCCAACUUUUCCAAUGCACAUUACUGCUUUCGAGUCAAACUAUAUGUAGUUGGAUUUAAUAUGUACAUUUAUGCUAAGUUUGCACCCCAACUGAUCACUUGAAAUUGAGGUAUGGCCGAGUCAAACUAUAUGAAGUUGGAUAAUUUUUUUUAAUAUGUACAUUUAUGCUAAGUUUGCGCCCCAAGUGACUUGAAAUUGAGGUAUGGUUAAUUGAUUUAGUUGUAAAAUAAUAACUGAAAUAAAAUCUUGGUUCUGCCUUUGACAGAGGGUCGACUGGAAACAGCCUCUCUGUCCUUUCGGGUAGGGGUAAGGCCGUCUACAUAUUACCCUCCCAGACCCCCCUUUGUGGGACUAUACUGGGUAGUAGUUGUUGUUGUUGUUGUUCUGCCUUUGACAGAAAGAUGCAGUGAACUUUUUAAUUCUAACCUUAAAUCAAUUUCCAGGUUAUGUUGUUGGGGCACAAUGAUGAAUAUACUGCAGACAGAAGCAUGAAAGUCACGGUAGUUUUCAACCAUUUUGGCCGUGAACUAGUUCAAAGAAUGCCAAGGUACCUAAUUAGGAUUAAUCACAAUACUUUGAAACAACUGUAAAUAGAUUUUGUAGUUGGACCAAGUAUGACAAUAAUUUAAGAUAAUGCAACAGACUAUCCAAGAUUAAUCACAAUACUUUGAAACAACUGUGAAUAGAUAUUUAUGCAGUAAUUUAAGAUAAUGCAACAUUUGACAAUAAUUUGUGUUACAGGGUUAGGUAUGGUUAUGCUCAUGUGGCUAAUAAUUAUUAUGAUCAAUGGUUAAUGUAUGCCAUUGGUGGGAGUGCAGAUCCAACUAUAUUCAGUGAGGGAAAUUAUUUCAUUGCUCCAGACUCAUACGACAAAGAGGUAUGCAAACAUUAAGCUUUGUUCUUCAGUGUCUAGAAGAUCAGAUAUUUUCACUUCUUCAUUCUUUUUCCACUUUGAAACUAGAGACAAAUAACAACUUAGACUAAUGUCAUCGCCGUUGCUAUAUAUAGAUGAUGUUAUAAUAGUCAUGAUAUAUAUAACAGGUCACCAAGAGGGAAACUCAUGAAGGGGGAUGGAAAAGUUGGAAAUGGAGGUCCUCAAAAGAUGUGUUUGUGAAUGGAGCAUAUUUUAUUCCAUCUGGAUAUGGAAGUAUUGCUCCAAAAUACACAAGAGGACAAUCGUUUAUCGUUGCUCAAGGAUCAUUAACUCCCUCUUUAACUUCUGACGCUGGCCCUCUUCAAUGUGUUGUCAAUGAACCUUGCUAAUCAUACAAAACAUUUCUUCUUUCCUUUUCCUAUCACCUGCAUGCCCUGUAUAUCUUUGGCAGCAUUUUGUAAUGCCUCACAUUUUUAACAUAAGCUUAACGUAUACCAUAUUAAGUUCAAGAAAGGUUCAGGCUUUUGGAGUUUUAAGUUUCUUUGAGAUUGUAUCCCUUAUAGUUUAUAGUACACAGUUUGUUUUGUUGAGAAUGGCAAUGGAUUCUAUAAGGGUGUAAUAUAAUAUCAAAGGAGUAACUUUUGUAUCGCAUGUUGAGUUGUAUAUGCUUCUAUCAUCUUCAUUACUUCUGCUAGCAAUAGUACAGAUUGCAACAAAAGUUCAAGCUCAAAACUGGACAUCACAGAUAACCAAAUAGAUGAACUAUACAAUCAACCAACUUAAACUGGUUUUUGGGUAAUCUUGGAAUCUUUACUUGGACUCGAAUUUGGUUCACAUAGGCAAGGGAGCUGAAAAAAGAAGAAUUAACUCAAAUAGCCGCUCACCUAAUCUCUUGAACUAAAAAUAGCCAGCAGAUAUAUAAUAUAUGUUUAAUUCAUGUAUAACUGCGUAUAAUCAAUGUAUAUCGGUUAUAAAAAAUAAAUAAUGAAUUUGGUCGGCUAUUGUGUAACAAACAUGACUGCAAGGUGCAGAGCAGCAGAGUUUUCCCUAAGACAUUCCUUACUCUACAUACAAGCAAUGCCAAACAUGCAAGACCAAAAAGUUGGUUCCUUUAACUUACAAACAGAACCAAUUAAAGUGCAAGAUUAUGCUAUAUAAGAAAAUUAAAAGAAAGAAGGGAAAAAAACUUGAAAAAUGGUAAAGAAAAGAAGAAAUACAGCAAUUUCUUUUUUACUUCAAAAGAUGCUCUCAGAAAAGUCUAUUCUCAUUGGUUUGAACACCAUGAGUUACUGGUGCUUUGGCUCUCAGUUUCUUCAAGUACCACACACCAGCUCCUAUUCCAAAUGCCCCUGCAACUGACACUGCAGUUGCUGUUCCUGCAACAUUUCAAAUAGAUUUUGUAUAAGAAAUCUUAGAAAAGACAGUCCAGUGCACUAAGUUCCCGCUAUGCGCGGGGUGGUCCGGGGAAGAUCCGGACCACAAGGGUCUAUAGUAUACAGCCUUACCCUGCAUUUCUGCAAGAGGCUGCAAGAAAUGUAUGAAGUUGAAAGCUCUUAGCAAAUUAAUUGGUCAUUGAUCAAGAAAAUCUAAUAGGUACCUGCAACAACUCCUCUUCUGUGAGAGCUCGUGCGAUCUGCAAAUCAUUAAAAAUAAAUCAACUUGAGCAAUAUAUACUUAAUCAAAUAUUUACCUUAACAUAGUUAAUAAAUAUUCCCUUAGUACUGAUGCAUUUUGAAAAUUAAGCAAUGAUGACAAAAAUAGAAAAUAGACAGCAUUUUAAGAUACUACAAUAACGUUUCGGAACAUCAUGAGUUUAAGUUAUAGGCAUCGAAAGUAUAAAAAAUAUUUACGCAAUGGUAAUUGCUAGUAACUUUAUAUAAUAAAAUUCAAUGAAUAACUUACUCUAACAUGUUAAAUUAUACCGAGUAUAUAUAACUUAAAUUCUUCAGACAUACCAUUACAAUAGGUGGUACUGUUCCCUUUGUCACAUAAGCACAAAAAAUCCUGUGUUUCUGUAUCAAAGCCACAUGUGCCCCCUCCCUUAGCAGUAUCUUGACACUGCAGGCAUCGCGUUGUCACUGGAAUAUCAAAAUCAACUCUAAUCCCAUACUCAGGAGCCUGAUCAAACGCGGGCGUUGAACCAAGAUUCCUCCAAUAAACACUAGUAUAGCUAGCACAAUGCUUCAACAUUAGCCUCAAAGAUUCAGUAGCUUUGGGAUAGUAAGAACAACAAGAGCUACUCCUCAAUGCAGAAGGACAUUCAAGUAUGUGCCUACAAAGAUAACUCGAACUAUCACACGUCGAAUCACACUGAUCAGGAAAACGCUCGCAGAACAUUGGUUUUGGCUCAACUAUUACAUCACUUUCACUACAGUUGAAGAACAAGUAGUCAUUUUCAGGAGAUAAAGUGAGAUGUGUGCUAGUAUCUAGACUAAAUGGCCUGAUUGGUCGAAAAUUGUCACCGUCUAGGCAAUUCCACAUUAAGGGGUCAGUUACAAGAAUAUGUGGAUCAGUAUAGCUUAAAUUUCUAACAGGAUAUCUACCAGAAGGAGUUCUAAGUUGAAGUUGACCACCUGUACAAACAAGAACAUGCCUAUAGUAUGGACUUCCACAGCCAUCAUCAAUGCCAAAAGGGUACUGAAUUGGGAUAUCACCACAAGAAUUUCUGCAAAUUCUUGAUUGAGCUUCUGUGAUGCUCAGAAAUUGAAGUAUUAGAAACAUUAUUAAGAUGGACUGAGUUGAUGUCCAGUUGUUUGCUAAUGAAAUGGCCAUAUGAGACUAAAUUGCUUGAAGGUGUUGAGUUUGAUCUUCUGCACCAAGAUUUGUAUAGUCAAGGAAGACUGUAGCAUCAGGAAAGUGUUUAUGCUGAUUAAAAAGAGAAUCUUGCUGUUGGUUUUUGCUUUAUAUACCUUUCACUUUUUCUCUUUUUCUUUUCAGAAGCUUCAUUUUAUAACUAGGAAAUGCUUUUGCUUUAGAAAUUAUGAGCUAGGGAGCUUUUAACAGUAGUAAUAUUUACUUCCAUUAUGAUGACUAGCUUGACGUUACUUUUUAUCUUUUUUUCUUUUUAAAUGUAAUGUACAUGUUUAGCACAAUAUUUCAGUACACUACUUGCGAGCACUUGUUUAGCUAUGAACUUUUGAGUUUCAAUUUUCAAGUGAAAUAUAAAGGGAAAAAGCUAAAUACUAUUCAUCUGUCUCAAAUUAUGGGUUGUGAUUUCUGAAAAUAAUUGUUUUAAAUUAUUUGUCACUUUAGAAGUUCAAGACAUAAUUAGUUAUAUUUUUCGUAUUUUACUAUUAGUACUAUUGGUCCAAGAACAGGUAAAGUUUUGAAGAAUGACAAAUAAACUCAGUCAUGGACGAGGUCCAUCUUGUGAAGCACAGUCAUGAUCAACCUAUACAUGUAAGAUGCAUGUGAAGGAGAUAAGUUAUAAUGAUCAAGCAACAAUAUCUCCUGAUCUGAUCGAAAAGGUAGCAUAUUGCAUAAGCGGAGAAAGUCUUCUUAUAAGAAGAGAACACAAUCCGUAUAAAGAUAGUGUUGGAGUGUGAGAUGUUCAAGGACUCAACUAUGCUAGAAGAUCAGCAGUUGAGUUUCUAUCAAACUCUGACCUAUUAAAAGAUAGUGAUUGUUCUCUUUUACAGGUAUUGCACAAACGCAGAAGUUAAACUAAAUUGAGAGCAAAAGAGCAAGGUGAUUUUGCAAGCAAUUUAUGUGAGAUUUGAGUGUGCACUCCUGAAGCUACUUGAACGAGAUAGAAGAACCAAUUCCACCGUGUCUUUCUUUUAUUCUAGUUCAAUUGUAGUAGGUGGUUUAUAAUUGUAACUUUCAGCUUUCAUAGAAGCAGUUGUAUUAGGUACGUAGAUUUUUCAAAUAGAGUUAACUUAAAGUUGUCGCAACAGUUGAGGCUGUGUGCUAUAACGGGAUUAGAGUUAAUCCUUAAGUUUACGAAGAAUUUUAUAAAUGUUAUUUUGGAUCAGUGAUUUUGGUGAAAGUUUGGGAAAUCCCACUUAGUAGUAGGUUGUGGUUUUUCACCUUUUGAGCCAGGUGUUUUUCACGUAAAAAUCUCCGUGUUAUUUAUUUUAUGUACUUAUUAUUUCGUAAACGAUAGUAUUAAUACACCUAGAAGAACCAGAUUUUUCUAGAGCGAAAAUUGGGUACCACAGAGAUCACCUCCCUCCCCCCCCCUCCCCAUCGGUGUGGUAUUGACGUUUAGAACAUCAAUUGACAUCAGAGCGGGUUAUCCUUGAAGAGGCUAACACCUUAGGAAAAGAUCAACAUAAGUGCACCACCUAGGAACUGGAAAGGACAAUCUACUGCUAGGCCUCCACUCUUCAAUCAGUACUAUUCUUGGUGGAAGAACGGGAUGAGGGAUCACAUCAUACGAGAAGGCUAUGAACUCUGGGACAUAAUCAUUGAUGGUCCUCUAGAAACUACAAAAAAGAAUGUUGAAGGAGUGGAUGUGCUAAAGAUAAGAGCUGACUGCACUGCUGGAGACUUGAAGAUGUGGGAGAAGAAUGCCAAUGCCAAGAAAUGGCUUAUGUGUGGACUACGUCUAGAUGAGUACAGUAGAAUUCAAAGGUGUACCACUGCUAAGGAAAUCUGGGACACCUUGCAAGUAGCUCAUGAAGGAACACCUCAAGAGAAGAGGUCCAGAGGAACACUGCUGUAUUCUCAAUAUGAGAAUUUCACCAUGAAGGAAGGAGAAACCAUCCAAGAGAUAUAGACAAGGUUCAUCACACUGACAAAUGAACUUAAGUCUCUUGGAAAGAUUAUUCUUGAAGAAGACAAAGUUGAGAAGAUUUUGACAAGGGUUCUAUCAGUCCCUUGGGAAAGCAAAAUCAAUACUAUUUAGGAAUCAAAGAAUAUUGCUACCCUCAAGAUGGAUGAACUAAUUGGACACCUUACUGCCUAUGAACUGAGAAGGCAAACCAUGAAAAUGGGUGCACCCAAGAAGGAAACAACUCUGGCUCUCAGAAUUGAUGAAGGUUCAGAUUUGGAGGAUGAUGAAAUUGUUAUGAUCACAAGAGACUUCAAAUAUUACCUGAUGAGAGGAAAGAGUUCUUCAAGAGGUACAACUUUCAACAAACCAAGAGCUCGUGAUAAAUCGACCGAUGAGGGUUGCUAUAAACUUGGUAUGACUGAUCACAUGAUCAAGUGGAAAAAGGAAAGGGCUAAACAAAGGAAUAGGUCCAACCAAAAAGCACUAAAGGAUCAACAAAGGGUAUGGUUGCUUCCUGGGGAGAAACAUCAUAUGAGGACUCAGAAGAUGAAGCUGGAGAUGAACAAGCACUUAUAGCCAUCGAAAAAUCAGAUGAUGAACAAGAGGUACGUGUUCUUCAUCCCAAAGACAAGAUUAAAUUCUUAUCAAGAAAAGUUGUCUGAGAUACUGCUAGAUUUCAUUGAUGAGUCUGAGGUAAUUAACAAUGAGAAGGAAGAACUGUCUAGGGAAUGUGCAAUCCUAAAAUUCAAGUGCAAAAAUCUAGAAUGUAGGGCUAAUGAGAGUGAAAGUAAGAAUGAAGAUUUGAAGAACCACGUUCUUGAUUCGUGACCUAGAACUUAGGUCUGAGAACUUAAAACUAAAAUUAGGAACAGGAAAGAAGAAAGCUGAUCACACACAUCUCGCCCUAAAAGGAAAGUUAGGAAAAAUGAAGGAUGAAUCGUACAUGAAGGAUAUGUUGAUGUUAAUUAUGCAGGUUUUCUAGUGGAUAGCAAAGCACCUCGGUAUGAUACACUUCCUUGGUUCAUGUCUUGUGUCAUGGGCUACUGAAAAGCAAAAUCCAGUGGUCUUGUUUACUGCUGAAGCUGAAUAUGCUGUUGUUGCUUCUUGUUGUGCUUAAUUGCUAUGGAUCAAACAACAGCUGGUAGAUUUUGGCAUUGAAGUUGGUUGCAUUCCUAUAUUCUAUGAUAACACUAGUGCUAUAAGUAUGACAAAGAAUCCGGUUCAUCAUAAAAGGACUAAGUACAUAGAUGUUAGGCACAAUUUCUUCAGAGAUAACUAUGAGAAAGGAUAGAUCUCCAUAGAAUUAUGUGCUACUGAUAAUAAAAUUGCUGACAUCUUCACUAUAGCACUAAGUAGAGAAAACUUUGAGAGGAACAUAUUAGAAUUAAGGAUGAUUAAUAUUACAUAAUAGGUCCAGAUCAGAAUGCACAAUGAAAAAUUGAAUAUAUAUAUAUAUAUAUAUAUAUAUAUAUAUACCACUUUCAUAUCUAUCAAAUAUAAAAAAUUUUGACCACGGAAUGAAAGUGAUUUUUGCCCGUCUAAUUUGCCUUCGAAUUAGGCUACUUAAAAUUAUCUCCUGGGCACUUAUGUAGUAAAGCGGGCGAAUACACAAUUUUUUAAUGCACGCUUAAGUGAAGAAAAACUAAAAAAAGAAAAAUCAGUUGGGGAUAUAUUUUAACCACUUUCUUAUUGCUUCUUCUUAAUAUAAAAUAUAUAUUUUAUUCGUUAAUAGAUGAUUUGUUUCAGCAAAAGAACAAAGUGGGGAGCUUCAUGGUUAUAUAUAUAUAUAUAUAAAUAUAUAUAUGAAUUUUGAACUUGUGAAAAUACCUACGUUAAUUCUUACUCAGCUUCUUACUUUAAUUAGUAUAUUCCUGUGACAUGUGUUUAUAUGAGUCACUAAUCUUUUAUAAAAUUUUCUCUAUUAUGGCAUUUGAGGCAUGAUCAAGAGAGUUCUAAAUGAAAAACCUGGUUCAUCAGUAUAGAAUCAUAUGAAAGCUAAGGCAUGUAUUCGAUUCUCUGCACAAUUAGAAAGAUUAAUAAUUCAAUCAUGAGAAAAAGUCCUAUACUUGUCAAAUUUCUAUAAAAUUCAAUCCGUUGAGCAUUGAACCAGUUCUGUCCAUCUAGAACUCUAAAACCGUAAUUUUUCCUAAUAUCUAGGAAGCCAAAUAAUCAUUAAAAUUCUGAAAUUUCAGUUUGAUUAGACUUCUAUUUGAUCCCUGAAAAGCUAUCGUUACUUAAUUAAUGUCUAAUUCUCUUUAAAUACACACCACAUCUCCAACCUUCUUUAUUAUCAUUCUAAAACCGUCAAAAAUUCUUCUUCAAUUCUAAUUGCCCUCUUCUCCAAAAUUCCCAAAUACUCUCAAGAAACAAACAAUCAUGUCUAACCCGCAAGAUCAUCCUGGCACUCCUCCACCACCAUCUCCCUUAAAUUCAUCCUCAUCUACUACACCUAGUGUAUCUGCAAAACCAAAAUUUUGAAGGCAGAAAAUGCUUGCUCGAAAAAUUGUAGCAUCUGAGGCUCUGAGAAAGGUUUUAAAUGAAAGGUUGAAAGCUAGCCAAGUGAAAUAAAGCACAGCUCAAAAUUCCGGCUCCAGUUCAGAGUUUGAAUCCUUUCAAUCUACGAGUGAAGGUGAAGGACAUGGGUCUUCUGACACUGAGAAGACUCAAGAAACCCCUACUAAGGCAAGUUCAUCUGUGGUUGAAAACUUAGAAACUAGGUUUGUUUUGGUUGGACCUAUUAGAGAUGUUAAAUUGGCUGAGUCGAAUAGGAGUGGAGGCAUAAAGAAAGGAAAAAAGAGAGAGGGUGCAAGUGGUGAAGAGAGGGGAAAUGGGAAGGGAAAUGUUCUUGCUAUAUGUGGGGUUGCACAAGAGAGGGUAGAAGAGAGUGGCAUGAAGUCAGGGGAAUUGGUUCUGGGGAAGUAGCUAAGGGGUUGGUUCAUCUAAGCAAACAAAUAGAUGAACCUAUUUCAUCUACUGAGGAAACCUUAGCUGACCUACUGAAAAGGGUUGGAGCAAGUUAUGACCCAAAGAAACGGAAAGGUACCAUACCAAAAGCCCAAAUGUUUCCCAGCCAUCUAAGAAAAUAAAAGCCUCAUCCCCAAUACCUACUGCCUCUUCAGUGCCUAGGGUUAAAGCCAUAAGAAGCAGGGUAAAAUAAAGUGAAGCUGAUCUAAAAAAGGCCUUAGAAGAAAGCAAAAAAAAUAGAGAAGGAAAAAAAAAAGGUAGUAGAAUCUUCUAAGGUUGUAGAUGAAGAGGAGAUGGAACUGGUCCAUCAAGAAAGGGGUACAAAUGUGGAGGUUCCUACACCUAAACCUAAAAAGUGCAAGACUUCCUCUAAGAAGUCUUCUUCUGUACCUGUGUUUGAUGAACCCUCACUAGCCAAGAGAACAAGAUCUGUAGUGAAAGCUAAAUAAACAAAAAUUUCAGAUGAUGAAGAGUGGACUGGAGAAGAAGAAAAUAAGAAAAUGAAUCUGAGAAGGAAGAGGACAAGUUUGUCAUCUUUGGCAGAAGAAAGAUUUUAAAAGGUAGAUUGUUGAAGGACCUGGUGGAACCAGGGACGAUGUGAUUGGUAGACUCUUUAGCUGCUUAGGGUUAGGAGGACAUGGUUCUUCAAAGGGAUGGUAGACUAGCCAGAAAUGAGCUAAUUGAGUUUAUGGCUAAUGAUGUUGUUAAGGAUAGAGCUGUUAGUAUCUUGGUAAGGGGAGUCCCAAAGCAGUUUAAUGCAGAGAAAUUAGGGGAGAUUCUAGACAUACUCUUUGAAGGAUUUAAUGACUAUACUAGGCAGAGGUGGCCAUGUCUGGACUCCCUCCUUACUGUCCUUGAAAUUACCAAAAGGUUCUGUGAUUCAGAGGAUGUGAAUGAAGCCAUAGCUGUGCAGAAAAGUGAGAUGAGGCCUGAGCACGUGGUCGUGUUUGAGUUUGUCAAUAAGUGCUCAUGGCCUAGAUAAGAGAGAAGGCACACUGCUAACUACAUGGAUCUAGUUCUGAUGGAGUGCCUUGAGAAGGGAAAGCAAAUCAACUGGCACACCCUCAUUAUCAAAUUGCUAAACAGGGUCAUAAAUGGCUUUAAGGCUCAUACUACUCUAUAUGGCUUCAUACUGACUAUAGUUCUAGACAUGCUAAACGUGCCCUUGAAUAAGUGGGAAAUGGCCUCGAGCAAGGAACACUUUGGCGUCAAAACUCUUCUUACUUGUGACCAUCCAGUCAAUGUCAUCCCAGUUAAACCUGGUUCAUCUCUGAAGACACCCAUCAACAACAAAGUUA
Molecule: long non-coding RNA, 26789 nt
Filed under: Nicotiana benthamiana
Lineage: Eukaryota; Viridiplantae; Streptophyta; Magnoliopsida; Solanales; Solanaceae
Description: long non-coding RNA (NBEN_LNC040792)
Source: RNAcentral